UACGGAGGGUGCAAGCGUUAUCCGGAUUUACUGGGUUUAAAGGGUGCGCAGGCGGAUAUGUAAGUCAGUGGUGAAAUCUCCGGGCUUAACCCGGAAAUUGCCGUUGAUACUAUAUAUCUUGAAUGCUGUGGAGGUAAGCAGAAUAUGUCAUGUAGCGGUGAAAUGCUUAGAUAUGACAUAGAAUACCUAUUGCGAAGGCAGCUUACUACGCAGAUAUUGACGCUCAUGCACGAAAGCGUGGGGAUC
RNAcentral lists this ribosomal RNA (246 nucleotides) under uncultured bacterium. RNAcentral's name for it is "partial 16S ribosomal RNA". It matches the Rfam family "Bacterial small subunit ribosomal RNA", at positions 524 to 769 of the family's 1533-position model. The record is from RNAcentral.